UACGUAGGGGGCGAGCGUUGUCCGGAUUUAUUGGGCGUAAAGCGCGGGCAGGCGGCCCCGUAAGUCGGCCGUGAAAGCGCCGGGCUCAACUCGGCGAGGACGGGCGAGACUGUGGGGCUCGAGCAAGGCAGAGGGCGGUGGAAUUCCGGGUGUAGUGGUGGAAUGCGUAGAGCUCCGGAGGAACACCAGUGGCGAAGACGGCCGCCUGGGCCUUUGCUGACGCUGAGCCGCGAAAGCGUGGGGAGCGAGCCGG
This 253-nucleotide ribosomal RNA is filed under the name uncultured bacterium. RNAcentral's name for it is "partial 16S ribosomal RNA". It matches the Rfam family "Bacterial small subunit ribosomal RNA", at positions 524 to 776 of the family's 1533-position model. The record is from RNAcentral.